This 253-nucleotide ribosomal RNA is filed under the name uncultured bacterium. RNAcentral describes it as "partial 16S ribosomal RNA". It matches the Rfam family "Bacterial small subunit ribosomal RNA", at positions 524 to 776 of the family's 1533-position model. The record is from RNAcentral.
UACGUAGGUGGCAAGCGUUAUCCGGAUUUAUUGGGCGUAAAGCGAGCGCAGGCGGUCUUUUAAGUCUAAUGUGAAAGCCUUCGGCUCAACCGAAGAAGUGCAUUGGAAACUGGGAGACUUGAGUGCAGAAGAGGAGAGUGGAAUUCCAUGUGUAGCGGUGAAAUGCGUAGGUAUAUGGAGGAACACCAGUGGCGAAGGCGGCUCUCUGGUCUGUAACUGACGCUGAGGCUCGAAAGUAUGGGUAGCAAACAGG